RNAcentral lists this ribosomal RNA (496 nucleotides) under uncultured bacterium. RNAcentral's name for it is "bacterial SSU rRNA". It matches the Rfam family "Bacterial small subunit ribosomal RNA", at positions 8 to 518 of the family's 1533-position model. The record is from RNAcentral.
AGAGUUUGAUCCUGGCUCAGGAUGAACGCUGGCGGCGUGCCUAACACAUGCAAGUCGAACGUGAGGGGGUAGCAAUAUCCUUGAAAGUGGCGGCACGGGUGAGUAAGACGUAGGUGACCUGCCCUGGAGUGGGGGGAUAACAGCUAGAAAUGGCUGCUAAUACCGCAUAUUGCCGAGACAUUGGGAAAUGACUUGGUAAAAACUCUGGUGCUUCAGGAGGGGCCUGCGGCCGAUUAGCUAGUUGGCGGGGUAAGAGCCCACCAAGGCAGUGAUCGGUAGCUGGUCUGAGAGGACGAUCAGCCACACGGGAACUGAGACACGGUCCCGACUCCUACGGGGGGCAGCAGUGAGGAAUAUUGGGGCCAAUGGGCGGAAGCCUGACCCAGCAACGCCGCGUGGAGGAAGACGGCCUUCGGGUUGUAAACUCCUUUUACGGGGGAAGAGGAAGGACGGUACCCCGAGAAUAAGUCACGGCUAACUACGUGCCAGCCGCCGC